RNAcentral lists this ribosomal RNA (254 nucleotides) under uncultured bacterium. RNAcentral describes it as "partial 16S ribosomal RNA". It matches the Rfam family "Bacterial small subunit ribosomal RNA", at positions 524 to 776 of the family's 1533-position model. The record is from RNAcentral.
UACGUAGGGUGCGAGCGUUGUCCGGAAUUACUGGGCGUAAAGAGCUCGUAGGUGGUUUGUCGCGUUGUCCGUGAAAACUCACAACUCAAUUGUGGGCGUGCGGGCGAUACGGGCAGACUGGAGUACUGCAGGGGAGGACUGGAAUUCCUGGUGUAGCGGUGGAAUGCGCAGAUAUCAGGAGGAACACCGGUGGCGAAGGCGGGUCUCUGGGCAGUAACUGACGCUGAGGAGCGAAAGCGUGGGGAGCGAACAGG